GACGAACGCUGGCGGCGCGCUUAACACAUGCAAGUCGAGCGAAGCGGCGGACGGGUGAGUAACACGUGAGUAACCUGCCUUAGACCUUGGGAUAGCCUCGGGAAACCGGGAUUAAUACCAAAUGGUCUAAGAUGGACUCGCGUCCCAUUAACUAGUUGGUGAGGUAACGGACCACCAAAGCGACGAUGGGUAACCGGCCUGAGAGGGUGAACGGCCACAUUGGAACUGAGAACCGGUCCAAACUCUACGGGAGGCAGGAGGGGGGAAUAUUGCACAAUGGAGGGAACUCUGAUGCAGCGACGCCGCUUGAACGAAGAAGGCUUUCGAGUAGUAAAGUUCUUUUAUAUGGGAAGCGGUACCAUAAGAAAAAGCCCCGGCUAACUACGUGCCAGCAGCCGCGGUAAUAC
RNAcentral lists this ribosomal RNA (407 nucleotides) under uncultured bacterium. Its description in RNAcentral is "partial 16S ribosomal RNA". It matches the Rfam family "Bacterial small subunit ribosomal RNA", at positions 28 to 526 of the family's 1533-position model. The record is from RNAcentral.